GGCAAUGUGGCUCAGUGGUAGAGUGCCUGCCUAGCAUGCAUGAAGCCCUGGGUUCGAUUCCUCAGUACCA
Molecule: transfer RNA, 70 nt
Filed under: Dipodomys ordii (Ord's kangaroo rat)
Lineage: Eukaryota; Metazoa; Chordata; Mammalia; Rodentia; Heteromyidae
Rfam family: tRNA
About the family: Transfer RNA (tRNA) molecules are approximately 80 nucleotides in length. Their secondary structure includes four short double-helical elements and three loops (D, anti-codon, and T loops).
Source: Rfam by way of RNAcentral